CAGCUUAUAAACCUGUGAGAUUAACACUCUGUUACUCACAGUCGUCCUUCACAGUAACACAGUCCACAGGGACAAUGACUUUAAUCACCAUCUUCAUCUGGACGCUCAUCCUCUGCAUCCAAGAAUCCAGAGGCCAGAUUACUGUGACUCAGACACCUGCAGUAAAAGCUGUUACUGUAGGAGAAACUGUGACCAUGAGCUGUAAAACCAGCAGCCCUAUAUCAGGAUGCAGCAGUUGUGUGUCAUGGUACCAACAGAGGACUGGAGAGCCUCCUAAACUCCUCAUCUACUAUAUAAACAGCCGUCAGUCUGGGACUCCAGGACGAUUCACUGGAGGUGGAUCUAACUAUGGGUCUGACUUCACUCUGACCAUCAGUGGAGUCCAGGCUGAAGAUGCAGGAGAUUAUUACUGUCAGAGUUACCAUGAGAUCAGUAGUAAAGCUGUGUUCACACAGUGAUACAGAGCCGUACAAAAACCU
Molecule: non-coding RNA, 479 nt
Organism: Brienomyrus brachyistius
Lineage: Eukaryota; Metazoa; Chordata; Actinopteri; Osteoglossiformes; Mormyridae
Source: the annotation of a RefSeq genome assembly